CACGUAGGGGGCGAGCGUUGUCCGGAUUUAUUGGGCGUAAAGAGCUCGUAGGCGGCUCGGUAAGUCGGGUGUGAAAACUCUAGGCUCAACCUAGAGACGCCACCUGAUACUGCUGUGGCUAGAGUGCGGUAGGGGAGACUGGAAUUCCUGGUGUAGCGGUGAAAUGCGCAGAUAUCAGGAGGAACACCGGUGGCGAAGGCGGGUCUCUGGGCCGUAAGCUGACGCUGGAGGAGCGAAAGCAUGGGGAGCGAACAGG
RNAcentral lists this ribosomal RNA (256 nucleotides) under uncultured bacterium. RNAcentral's name for it is "partial 16S ribosomal RNA". It matches the Rfam family "Bacterial small subunit ribosomal RNA", at positions 524 to 776 of the family's 1533-position model. The record is from RNAcentral.